CGGACGUAGGUAACCUGCCUGGUAGCGGGGGAUAACUAUUGGAAACGAUAGCUAAUACCGCGUAACAGUAGAUGUUGCAUGACAUUUGCUUAAAAGGUGCAAUUGCAUCACUACCAGAUGGACCUGCGUUGUAUUAGCUAGUUGGUGGGGUAACGGCUCACCAAGGCGACGAUACAUAGCCGACCUGAGAGGGUGAUCGGCCACACUGGGACUGAGACACGGCCCAG
RNAcentral lists this ribosomal RNA (227 nucleotides) under uncultured bacterium. RNAcentral describes it as "partial 16S ribosomal RNA". It matches the Rfam family "Bacterial small subunit ribosomal RNA", at positions 112 to 334 of the family's 1533-position model. The record is from RNAcentral.